RNAcentral lists this ribosomal RNA (460 nucleotides) under uncultured bacterium. RNAcentral's name for it is "partial 16S ribosomal RNA". It matches the Rfam family "Bacterial small subunit ribosomal RNA", at positions 338 to 795 of the family's 1533-position model. The record is from RNAcentral.
CCUACGGGAGGCUGCAGUGAGGAAUAUUGGUCAAUGGGCGUAAGCCUGAACCAGCCAAGUAGCGUGAAGGAUGACUGCCCUACGGGUUGUAAACUUCGUUUAUAAAGGAGUAAAGUGAGGCAAGUGUGCCUUUUUGUAUGUACUUUAUGAAUAAGGAUCGGAUAACUCCGUGCCAGCAGCCGCGGUAAUACGGAGGAUCCGAGCGUUAUCCGGAUUUAUUGGGUUUAAAGGGAGGGGAGAGGGGUUGUUAAGUCAGUUGUGAAAGUUUGCGGGUCAACCGUAAAAUUGCAAUUGAUACUGGCAGCCUUGAGUACAGUUGAGGUAGGCGGAAUUCGUGGUGUAGCGGUGAAAUGCUUAGAUAUCACGAAGAACACCGAUUGCGAAGGCAGCUUACUAAACUGACACUGACAUUGAUGCUCGAAAGUGUGGGUAUCAAACAGGAUUAGAUACCCUGGUAGUC